Molecule: ribosomal RNA, 475 nt
Filed under: uncultured bacterium
Lineage: Bacteria
Description: bacterial SSU rRNA
Rfam family: Bacterial small subunit ribosomal RNA
Source: RNAcentral
CAGGACGAACGCUGGCGGCGCGCCUAACACAUGCAAGUCGAACGAGCGAGAGAGAGCUUGCUUUCUCGAGCGAGUGGCGAACGGGUGAGUAACGCGUGGGGAACCUGCCCCCUAAGUCUGGGAUACCAUUUGGAAACAGGUGCUAAUACCGGAUAAUAAAGCAGAUCGCAUGAUCAGCUUUUGAAAGGCGGCGUAAGCUGUCGCUAAGGGAUGGCCCCGCGGUGCAUUAGCUAGUUGGUAAGGUAACGGCUUACCAAGGCGACGAUCAGUAGCCGGCUUGAGAGAGUGAACGGCCACAUUGGGACUGAGACACGGCCCAAACUCCUACGGGAGGCAGCAGUGGGGAAUAUUGCACAAUGGGGGAAACCCUGAUGCAGCGACGCCGCGUGAGUGAAGAAGUAUUUCGGUAUGUAAAGCUCUAUCAGCAGGGAAGAUAAUGACGGUACCUGACUAAGAAGCCCCGGCUAACUACGUG